This 78-nucleotide transfer RNA is filed under the name Promethearchaeota archaeon. RNAcentral's name for it is "Candidatus Lokiarchaeota archaeon (marine sediment metagenome) tRNA-Asp". The record is from RNAcentral. Lineage: Archaea; Promethearchaeati; Promethearchaeota.
GCCCUCGUAGUGUAGUCUGGUCUAUCAUCUGGGACUGUCACUCCCAGGACCCGGGUUCAAAAUCGCGCAGUGAAGACA